CCAAUAGCGUAUAUUAAAGUUGUUGCAGUUAAAAAGCUCGUAGUUGAAUUUCGGGAUCAAUAUGUUGGUCGUGCCUUGGUACGUACUAGUUUAUUGGUUUCUCCCUUCUGACGAACCAUGAUGUCAUUAAUUUGGUGUCAUGUGGAAUCAGAACUGUUACUUUGAAAAAAUUAGAGUGUUUAAAGCAGGCUCACGCUUGAAUACAUUAGCAUGGAAUAAUGAAAUAGGACGUUUGAUUCUAUUUUUUUGGUUUCUAGGAUUGACGUAAUGAUUAAUAGGGAUAGUUGGGGGCAUUAGUAUUCAAUUGUCAGAGGUGAAAUUCUUGGAUUUAUUGAAGACUAACUACUGCGAAAGCAUUUGCCAAGGAUGUUUUCAUUAAUCAAGAACGAAAGUUAGGGGAUCGAAGACGAUCAGAUACCGUCGUAGUCUUAACCAUAAACUAUGCCGACUAGGGAUCGGAUGAUGUUAAUUUAAUGACUCAUUCGGCGCCUUACG
RNAcentral lists this ribosomal RNA (495 nucleotides) under uncultured Glomeromycotina. RNAcentral describes it as "partial small subunit ribosomal RNA". It matches the Rfam family "Eukaryotic small subunit ribosomal RNA", at positions 591 to 1092 of the family's 1831-position model. The record is from RNAcentral. Lineage: Eukaryota; Fungi; Glomeromycota.